AGCUCCAAAAGCGUAUAUUAAAGUUGUUGCAGUUAAAAAGCUCGUAGUUGAAAUUCUGGCUGUAUUGGGCCUGUGCACUCGUUGUAAAGGUACCAGCAGUCAUCCGCUUGCAAGUACAUGUCCUUCCUUUACCGGUAGGCUGUAUAAGUAAGCAUUUUACCUUGAGAAAAACAGAGUGUUCCAGGCAGGUUUGUCCGGAAUGCGUUAGCAUGGAAUAAUAGAAUAUGACUGAAGUCGAUUUAUUGGUUUAAGGCUUUAGUAAUGAUUAAUAGGAACAAUCGGGGGCAUUGGUACUUGUCAGUCAGAGGUGAAAUUCAAGGAUUUGACAAAGACUAACUGAUGCGAAAGCGUUUGCCAAGAAUGUUUUCA
RNAcentral lists this ribosomal RNA (369 nucleotides) under uncultured eukaryote. RNAcentral's name for it is "SSU rRNA". It matches the Rfam family "Eukaryotic small subunit ribosomal RNA", at positions 587 to 972 of the family's 1831-position model. The record is from RNAcentral.